Molecule: microRNA, 22 nt
Filed under: Murid betaherpesvirus 1 (Murine cytomegalovirus)
Lineage: Duplodnaviria; Heunggongvirae; Peploviricota; Herviviricetes; Herpesvirales; Orthoherpesviridae
Description: mcmv-miR-M95-1-5p
Gene: mcmv-miR-M95-1-5p
Source: miRBase by way of RNAcentral
GGUCGUGGGCUUGUGUCGCUUG